RNAcentral lists this ribosomal RNA (274 nucleotides) under uncultured bacterium. RNAcentral describes it as "partial 16S ribosomal RNA". It matches the Rfam family "Bacterial small subunit ribosomal RNA", at positions 523 to 796 of the family's 1533-position model. The record is from RNAcentral.
AUACGGGGGGUGCAAGCGUUAUUCGGAUUUAUUAGGUUUAAAGGGUGUGUAGGCGGGAGCCUAAGUCAGUGGUGAAAUCUCACAGCUUAACUGUGAAACUGCCAUUGAAACUGGGUUUCUUGAGUAUAGUUGAGGUAGGCGGAAUGUGUAAUGUAGCGGUGAAAUGCAUAGAUAUUACACAGAACACCGAUUGCGAAGGCAGCUUACUAAGCUAUUACUGACGGUGAUGCACGAAAGCGUGGGUAGCGAACAGGAUUAGAAACCCCAGUAGUCC